Non-coding RNA from Octopus sinensis (East Asian common octopus), 73 nucleotides. Lineage: Eukaryota; Metazoa; Mollusca; Cephalopoda; Octopoda; Octopodidae. The record is from the annotation of a RefSeq genome assembly.
GCCUUGUUAGCUCAGUCGGUAGAGCAUCGGGCUUUUAACCCGAGGGUCGUGGGUUCGAGUCCCGCACAAGGCU